This 72-nucleotide transfer RNA is filed under the name Phrynosoma platyrhinos (Desert horned lizard). Its description in RNAcentral is "tRNA-OTHER". Lineage: Eukaryota; Metazoa; Chordata; Lepidosauria; Squamata; Phrynosomatidae. The record is from RNAcentral.
GCCAGCAUGGCAUAGUGGUUUGAGCGCUGGACUAUGACUCUGGAGACCCGGGUUCGAUUCCUGAGUCGGUCA